GGCGGGGUAGCUCAGUGGUUAGAGCAUUCGCUUCAUAAGCGAAGUGUCGCCGGUUCAAUCCCGGCCCCCGCUA
Molecule: transfer RNA, 73 nt
Filed under: Gemmataceae bacterium
Lineage: Bacteria; Pseudomonadati; Planctomycetota; Planctomycetia; Gemmatales; Gemmataceae
Rfam family: tRNA
About the family: Transfer RNA (tRNA) molecules are approximately 80 nucleotides in length.
Source: Rfam by way of RNAcentral